UACGUAGGUGGCAAGCGUUGUCCGGAUUUACUGGGCGUAAAGGGCGUGCAGGCGGUUUGUUAAGUGCAGGGUGAAAGCUCCCGGCUCAACUGGGAGAGGUCCUUGCAUACUGGCGAACUCGAGGGAGGCAGAGGAAAGUGGAAUUCCCGGUGUAGUGGUGAUAUGCGUAGAUAUCGGGAGGAACACCUGUGGCGAAAGCGGCUUUCUGGGCCUUACCUGACGCUGAGACGCGAAAGCGUGGGGAGCGAACCGG
This 253-nucleotide ribosomal RNA is filed under the name uncultured bacterium. RNAcentral describes it as "partial 16S ribosomal RNA". It matches the Rfam family "Bacterial small subunit ribosomal RNA", at positions 524 to 776 of the family's 1533-position model. The record is from RNAcentral.